CAAGGGUUUAAAACUCCAUACA
This 22-nucleotide microRNA is filed under the name Spodoptera frugiperda (fall armyworm). RNAcentral describes it as "sfr-miR-10499a-4-5p". Lineage: Eukaryota; Metazoa; Arthropoda; Insecta; Lepidoptera; Noctuidae. The record is from miRBase by way of RNAcentral.